Molecule: long non-coding RNA, 678 nt
Organism: Zonotrichia leucophrys gambelii
Lineage: Eukaryota; Metazoa; Chordata; Aves; Passeriformes; Passerellidae
Exons: 5
Source: RefSeq, a predicted model, not a curated record
ACUUCGGGCAUCAGACAGCGAACCAGGUCAAGUCUGCAGAGCUACACUUCAUUAUUUCUGAGAACUCUGCACUUUCUUGUUUACUCUCGCCGCAAGCGGAGUGGAUCACGAUCUGGCUCGUUGUUCCUUUUUCCUAUGCAUAUACUUCUUUGAGAAUUGCUUCUAAAGAGGUAUAGGGCAUGGGAAAAUGGGGCAGUGAGGUACUUCACCCCUCAUCUCAGGCAGCAUCGCGAAGGCAGCGGCAGAAAUGUUUAGAGAAAACAGACGGGCCAAGAAAUGAAAGGUGCCGGGAUCACUGUCACUGAAUCCAGGUGUCUGGGAAGUGGAAGUAGAAGCUCUCUUUGCUCAUUUUAUUUUGUAGACAAACAAAAUUUUAAUGUUUCUGUCAAAUUACUUUCAUUUACUCUAAAUAGCAAUGUGUCACAUCAACCCUGGGGGGAAAAUUCUGCUGUUAUGAAACAAUGUAACUGUACAUAAUGCAUGUCAAAUAAAUAUCUAAUGGUUCAGUCACAGAUCAAAAGUUUGUGUUAUGCUGCAUCACAGUUUCUAACAAGUGUUUUAAAGCUGUGAGCUCAGAAAGAGCUAAGAACAUUACAUUACAAGUCAUUUUACCCGGUGGUUAUUGUCAUGCUACACUAUUCAAUAUUAAAUGAAUAUUUUAGAAGCUACUUUUCAUCU